RNAcentral lists this ribosomal RNA (57 nucleotides) under Pseudocoleophoma polygonicola. Its description in RNAcentral is "partial large subunit ribosomal RNA". It matches the Rfam family "Eukaryotic large subunit ribosomal RNA", at positions 1 to 57 of the family's 3401-position model. RNAcentral also lists the same sequence under 3 other names. The record is from RNAcentral. Lineage: Eukaryota; Fungi; Ascomycota; Dothideomycetes; Pleosporales; Dictyosporiaceae.
UGACCUCGAAUCAGGUAGGGAUACCCGCUGAACUUAAGCAUAUCAAUAAGCGGAGGA